RNAcentral lists this ribosomal RNA (496 nucleotides) under uncultured bacterium. RNAcentral's name for it is "bacterial SSU rRNA". It matches the Rfam family "Bacterial small subunit ribosomal RNA", at positions 28 to 507 of the family's 1533-position model. The record is from RNAcentral.
GAUGAACGCUAGCGACAGGCUUAACACAUGCAAGUCGGAGGGGCAGCAAUAAAAGUAGCAAUUACGUUUGGUGGCGACCGGCGCGACGGGUGAGUAACGCGUAUGACCAACCUACCUAUCAGGAAGGGAACUAACCCGGCGAAAGUCGGACUAAUACCGCAUAAAACAGGGGCACCGCAUGGUGAUAUUUGUUAAAGAAAUUCGCUGAUAGAUGGGCAUGCGUUCCAUUAGGUAGUUGGUGAGGUAACGGCUCACCAAGCCGACGAUGGAUAGGGGAACUGAGAGGUUGGUCCCCCACACUGGUACUGAGACACGGACCAGACUCCUACGGGAGGCAGCAGUGAGGAAUAUUGGUCAAUGGGCGGGAGCCUGAACCAGCCAAGUCGCGUGAAGGAAGAAGGAUCUAUGGUUCGUAAACUUCUUUUGCAGGGGAAUAAAGUGCGGGACGUGUCCUGUUUUGUAUGUACCCUGAGAAUAAGGAUCGGCUAACUCCGUG